RNAcentral lists this ribosomal RNA (709 nucleotides) under Serratia sp. ET1-04-6. RNAcentral's name for it is "bacterial SSU rRNA". It matches the Rfam family "Bacterial small subunit ribosomal RNA", at positions 58 to 759 of the family's 1533-position model. The record is from RNAcentral. Lineage: Bacteria; Pseudomonadati; Pseudomonadota; Gammaproteobacteria; Enterobacterales; Yersiniaceae.
CAAGUCGAGCGGUAGCACAAGGAGCUUGCUCCUGGGUGACGAGCGGCGGACGGGUGAGUAAUGUCUGGGAAACUGCCCGAUGGAGGGGGAUAACUACUGGAAACGGUAGCUAAUACCGCAUAACGUCUUCGGACCAAAGUGGGGGACCUUCGGGCCUCACACCAUCGGAUGUGCCCAGAUGGGAUUAGCUAGUAGGUGAGGUAAUGGCUCACCUAGGCGACGAUCCCUAGCUGGUCUGAGAGGAUGACCAGCCACACUGGAACUGAGACACGGUCCAGACUCCUACGGGAGGCAGCAGUGGGGAAUAUUGCACAAUGGGCGCAAGCCUGAUGCAGCCAUGCCGCGUGUGUGAAGAAGGCCUUCGGGUUGUAAAGCACUUUCAGCGAGGAGGAAGGGUUCAGUGUUAAUAGCACUGUUCAUUGACGUUACUCGCAGAAGAAGCACCGGCUAACUCCGUGCCAGCAGCCGCGGUAAUACGGAGGGUGCAAGCGUUAAUCGGAAUUACUGGGCGUAAAGCGCACGCAGGCGGUUUGUUAAGUCAGAUGUGAAAUCCCCGAGCUUAACUUGGGAACUGCAUUUGAAACUGGCAAGCUAGAGUCUUGUAGAGGGGGGUAGAAUUCCAGGUGUAGCGGUGAAAUGCGUAGAGAUCUGGAGGAAUACCGGUGGCGAAGGCGGCCCCCUGGACAAAGACUGACGCUCAGUGCGAAAG